UCAUAUUUUAAUCAACAAAAUCAGCUGAUAAUACGGCUUUAUUCCUCACGCCUACAGUGACCAUCUCCUAUCUCUUCUAUCUUUUCAAUUCAGAACACAGCAACAAUAAUGACCCCUCUCUCCUCUCCUCUCCUCUCUCUUUCUUUCUACUCUCUUCUCCUCCACCACCACCCUAGAAAACCAUAGCCGACAAACCUCCAACUACCACUGCACAACUAUCUGUUGCUCCGUAAAAAUCUGUGCAACAGUGAAAAUCAGCACAAAAUCGUGGAUAAGAGUUGGAAAAUCUUGCAAAUCCUAUCUCAAUUUUUUUUAAUUUUGGAUUCAAAUCCAAACUUUUGAGUCCAGAUUUAGCCUAUAAAUAUGGUGUUCUUCAACCCUAGACAACAAGUUAAAAAAUUGGGAGAAAGGGCAGUGGAGGAACAAGUGAUAACAGAGAAAAGGGAGGGUCUCAAAGUUUGAUAGAUUUCUUUCAAUAUUAGUCUAAAUUGGAAGUCCUCAGAUUCAAUUUUAUCAUCAGAAAUUCUUACACGUCAAGGCUCCAGUUUUGCUGCCCUAGAAAAGGAGUCGGAGUUACACAAUGAAACUCAUUUUUUGAUCCGAGAAUUGGGUCAACCGCCAUUCGGAUCACGAGAGCUUCUUAGUCGAGCAUAUUAGAAGACCAACUCAUAAAUGGAGUCUAGUAUCUCUUAGCUUGUUUGAAUUUAAUUUAUAGGAUGAUACUAAUUUUUGUAUUGAAUUUUCUUUUGUUUUUAAUAACUUUACUUAAUUAUUAAAUUUAUGUUAUCUUGUUA
Long non-coding RNA from Capsicum annuum, 794 nucleotides. RefSeq lists it as uncharacterized. The record is from RefSeq and is a predicted model, not a curated record. The transcript is spliced from 2 exons. NCBI's taxonomy places the organism in Eukaryota, Viridiplantae, Streptophyta, Magnoliopsida, Solanales, Solanaceae.